This 652-nucleotide long non-coding RNA is filed under the name Homo sapiens (human). RNAcentral describes it as "HSALNT0132573". Lineage: Eukaryota; Metazoa; Chordata; Mammalia; Primates; Hominidae. The record is from RNAcentral.
AAGUAUGGAAAAAAUGAGCAUUUCAUCCCAAAGAUGCAGCCGACUUGAUUGUGGUGGAUAAGCUUUUUGAUGUGCUGCUGGAUUCUGUUUGCUAGUAUUUUAUUAAGAAUUUUUGCAUUAAUGUUCAUCAGGGAUAUUGGCCUGGAUUGAGCAGGCCAUUUCCAAUCCAGCGGAAGACCUUCUAGAAGAGGUGAUGGGUGGGAGAGUGCUGGCAUACUAUGUGAAGCUACUAUUUGGAGUUGGACACGAGUGCAUGUGACCUUGUGCCACAGCGGGAAUGUGAGCUGGAUGACAAAUGGAGAUUUGGACUUGUGAUAAUUGGCCUCUGUGUCAUUGUGUGGAAGACUGACUGGUCCCUUUAUUUCCUGUAGCUUGACUACCACACAAAUGAAUCCACUCAAAUGUUGGCAAGUGGAGCAGAGUCCCAGGACAGUCUGCAAUCUCUACAGGUACAGAAACACCCCCAGUUCAAGGAUCUUCACACCUGGAUUUAGGCCUACUCCUGCAACUACCCCAGAACCUGGAAUUUAUAUGUUCAACAUGGAGCCAUCCCAGCCAUGACAACAGAGAAUGUACCACUCUCACGCUGGCGCUGAGAUGGGCAGGUGCUGCAGCAGCCCGGCUGGAAGCGAUGCAGCAUCCAGGACGACGG